UACGGGAGGCAGCAGUGGGGAAUAUUGCACAAUGGGCGCAAGCCUGAUGCAGCCAUGCCGCGUGUAUGAAAAAGGCCUUCGGGUUGUAAAGUACUUUCAGUCGUGAGGAAGGUGUUAAGGUUAAUAACCUUAGCAAUUGACGUUAGCGACAGAAGAAGCACCGGCUAACUCCGUGCCAGCAGCCGCGGUAAUACGGAGGGUGCGAGCGUUAAUCGGAAUUACUGGGCGUAAAGGGCACGCAGGCGGUUAAUUAAGUUGGAUGUGAAAUCCCCGGGCUUAACCUGGGAAUGGCAUUCAAGACUGGUUAGCUAGAGUCUUGUAGAGGGGGUAGAAUUCCGAUGUGUAGCGGUGAAAUGCGUAGAGAUGUGGAGGAAUACCGGUGGCGAAGGCGGCCCCUGGACAAAGACUGACGCUCAUGUGCGAAAGCGUGGGGAGCAAAACGAGGAUUAGAUACC
This 455-nucleotide ribosomal RNA is filed under the name uncultured bacterium. RNAcentral's name for it is "bacterial SSU rRNA". It matches the Rfam family "Bacterial small subunit ribosomal RNA", at positions 340 to 786 of the family's 1533-position model. The record is from RNAcentral.